Molecule: long non-coding RNA, 670 nt
Organism: Drosophila biarmipes
Lineage: Eukaryota; Metazoa; Arthropoda; Insecta; Diptera; Drosophilidae
Exons: 2
Source: RefSeq, a predicted model, not a curated record
AUAAAAAUAUAUUUCUGAUUAGAGUGUAUAACAUUUUGUUUGCAGAAAUUAUUUGUUAUAAGGGUGUGGGCAAAUUAGGCCUUUGAUACUUUAUCUUUUUAGAAGUGAAUCUAUUUUUUUAAAAGAAAACACUUUAAAAAGUUUUGAGUGGUUUUUUAAGAGGUGUGUGGAUCUCUGUGGGAAGACGCUAUAAGGAUCAUUAGCUAAGUAAGCAGAUAUGCUAAUUAACAUCAUUUAGUUACCACAAAAACAAUUUUUGUUGUCCAAUAUUAGAUGUCUAAAGAAAACGGCAUUUACAGGGACGUCGGAAUAGCCAUAUAGCCAAAAACAAUCAGCGACAAUGAUUUUAAGCUUAUGUGCGCAGAUGGCAUACAAAUUUAUAUCGAUGUUUUUAUCAAAGUUCCUCUACUACGGGAAUUAGAAGGAAGGAACCCAUCAUUGGAGUUCAGGACAUAAUAGUCGUCGCGUCCGGAAAGGGAGGUGUAGACAAAAGCACCAUCGCGAGUGGGCUUGGCUGAAUUAUUCUAAGACAUCUAACCACAGAAAAAAAUUAAUCUUAAAAAAACAACUUCAGGGGUCUUCAACGUAUUUCUUGCAUAUGUAUGUAACUUAAGUUUUAAUGUUAAAUAGCUGACGAACUAUUAAAGCUAUAACGAAAUAAAAAGUAUAA